GCCUACGGGGGGCAGCAGUGGGGGAUAUUGCACAAUGGGGGGAACCCUGAUGCAGCGACGCCGCGUGGGUGAAGAAGCGCCUCGGCGCGUAAAGCCCUGUCAGCAGGGAAGAAAAUGACGGUACCUGAAGAAGAAGCCCCGGCUAACUACGUGCCAGCAGCCGCGGUAAUACGUAGGGGGCAAGCGUUAUCCGGAUUUACUGGGUGUAAAGGGUGCGUAGGUGGCAGGGCAAGUCAGAUGUGAAAGCCCGGGGCUCAACCCCGGUACUGCAUUUGAAACUGUCCAGCUGGAGUGCAGGAGAGGUA
This 305-nucleotide ribosomal RNA is filed under the name uncultured bacterium. RNAcentral's name for it is "bacterial SSU rRNA". It matches the Rfam family "Bacterial small subunit ribosomal RNA", at positions 337 to 659 of the family's 1533-position model. The record is from RNAcentral.